This 423-nucleotide ribosomal RNA is filed under the name uncultured bacterium. Its description in RNAcentral is "bacterial SSU rRNA". It matches the Rfam family "Bacterial small subunit ribosomal RNA", at positions 359 to 773 of the family's 1533-position model. The record is from RNAcentral.
GAAUAUUGGACAAUGGGGGGAACCCUGAUCCAGCAAUGCCGCGUGUGUGAAGAAGGCCUUUUGGUUGUAAAGCACUUUAAGCGAGGAGGAGGCUACUCAAGUUAAUACCUAGAGAUAGUGGACGUUACUCGGAGCAUAUGACCCGGAUAACUCUGAGCCCGCAGCCGCGGUAAUACAGAGGGUGCAAGCGUUAAUCGGAUUUACUGGGCGGAAAGCGCGCGUAGGUGGCCAAUUAAGUCAAAUGUGAAAUCCCCGAGCUUAACUUGGGAAUUGCAUUCGAUACUGGUUGGCUAGAGUAUGGGAGAGGAUGGUAGAAUUCCAGGUGUAGCGGUGAAAUGCGUAGAGAUCUGGAGGAAUACCGAUGGCGAAGGCAGCCAUCUGGCCUAAUACUGACACUGAGGUGCGAAAGCAUGGGGAGCAAAC